This 2212-nucleotide ribosomal RNA is filed under the name Oziella atherodes. Its description in RNAcentral is "partial 18S ribosomal RNA". It matches the Rfam family "Eukaryotic small subunit ribosomal RNA". Lineage: Eukaryota; Metazoa; Arthropoda; Arachnida; Trombidiformes; Phytoptidae. The record is from RNAcentral.
UCUCGAAGAUUAAGCCAUGUAUGUGUAAGUACAUGCCUAACUAAGGCGAAACCGCGAAUGGCUCAUUAAAACAGUCAUGAUCUAUUUGAUGUUGAUUGUCUACAUGGAUAACUGUGGUAAUUCUAGAGCUAAUACAUGCACAAAAGCCGUGACUUUUAAUUAAGAAGCGGUGCGUUUAUUAGACCAAGACCAAUGGAUGCUUGCAUCCUAAAAAUAUGGUGACUCUGGAUAACUAAUGGCCUAAAAACCAUGAUGCUGACCCUAUGGCCUUUCGCGCCGAGGGCAAAUCAUUCGAGUGUCUGAUCUAUCAACUGUCGAUGGUAAAUUAUAUGUUUACCAUGGUUGUAACGGGUAACGGGGAGUUAGGGCUCGACUCCGGAGAGCAAGCCUGAGAAACGGCUAGCACAUCCAAGGAAGGCAACAGGCGCGCAAAUUACUCAAUGCCAGCUGUAGGCGAAGUAGUGAAGAAAAAUAACGAUGUAGGUUCUUUUUAUAGGAUCUACAAUUGGAAUGAGUACACCGUAAAUACGUUAACGAGUACCAAUUGGAGGGCAAGUCUGGUGCCAGCAGCCGCGGUAAUUCCAGCUCCAAUAGCGUAUAUUAAAGUUGCUGCGGUUAAAAAGCUCGUAGUUGGAUUUCAGACCUAUUGCUAGCAAAGCUGCACUAUUCAACGUCUAUAGGUUUGGCUGGGUGCGUUUACGCGUGCACAGACCGGAUCAUAGGCGGGUGUUAGCUAAUUGCUAGCUGGUCGUUUCGUCACUUUUUAACAGGACGAAGCAGGCUGUAUCAUUGGCUAGUGACCUUGUGUCGCGCUACAAUGGUCAGCGUGUUUACCUUGAGAAAAUUAGAGUGCUCAAAGCAGACAUGGCGGGUCGCAAGGCUUGCAUUUAUGUUUGAAUAAUGUUGCAUGGAAUAAUAGAAUAUGGCCUCGGUUCUAUUCUGUUGGUCUUGUAGAACAACAAACAAGUUCACAUGUUCAAACCAUGUUGUUAGCUAAACAGAAAGACCAUGCACUCUCUCGGGUGUGCAUACUUUCAAAAAAAGUUUCGCUUAUCAACACGAACAUGUGAAUCGAGGCAAUGGUUAAUAGGGACAGACGGGGGCAUUCGUACUGCUUCGCUAGAGGUGAAAUUCUUAGACCGAAGCAAGACGAACUAAAGCGAAAGCAUUUGCCUAGAAUGUUCUCAUUAAUCAAGAACGAAAGUUAGAGGUUCGAAGGCGAUCAGAUACCGCCCUAGUUCUAACCAUAAACGAUGCCAACUAGCAAUCAGGCUGAGUUUUUUAAAAUACAAAUGACUCGCCUGGCGGCUUCGCGGGAAACCAAAGUUUUUCGGUUCCGGGGGAAGUAUGAUUGCAAAGUUGAAACUUAAAGGAAUUGACGGAAGGGCACCACCAGGGGUGGAGCCUGCGGCUUAAUUUGACUCAACACGGGGAAACUUACUAGAUUAGAACGCUGGAAUGAUUGACAGAUUAAUAGCUCUUUCUUGAUUCAGCGAGUGGUGGUGCAUGGCCGUUCUUGAUUCGUAGAAUGAUUCGUCUGCUUAAUUGCGAUAACGAGUGAGACCUCGACCUACUAACUAGUUUUGUUCAUCAUUUGGGAUAUAAAACGCCCUGCGUGUGAACGGCUCAUUGUGCGUGCAGCAAUGUACGUAUUGGUGGGUAUCGGCGCGUGCAGGGUAGGCCCUCUGCUGGACAAAGACUUCUUAGCGGGAUAAACGGUGUUUUAGCCGUAAUAAAUGAGGCAAUAACAGGUCUGUGAUGCCCUUAGAUACUCUAGGCCGCACGCGUGCUACACUGGUAGAGGCAGCAUGCUUAAUUUAAACAAUUGCCUCGAAGUUCUACUUGUCUUCUGCGUAUUACGUGAGAGUGUUCGCAUUUGAUCGUGUGCGUAUGUUGGCUAGUGUGAGUCGUGGGUGUAUUGUUUGAAAAAACCUUGGCUGAAAAGCCCGGGCAAUCCUUUGAAACUCUACCGUGAUUUGGGAUUGGGAAUUGCAAUUGUUUUCCAUGAACGAGGAAUCCCCAGUAAGCGCAAUUCAUCAUAUUGCGUUGAUUACGUCCCUGCCCUUUGUACACACCGCCCGUCGCUACUACCGAUUGAAUGAUUUAGUGAGGUCUUUGGACUGGCUUGCACGACGAUUGAUCUCGGUCAUGUUGUAGUGCAAAGCUGGGAAGAUGAUCAAACUUGAUCAUUUAGAGGAAGUAAAAGUCGUAA